AAAGAUGAUGUUUGGAGUUCAGUGGUCAAGAAAACCCCGAUGACUGCACUUCUGUGAAUUUUGAAGUCUUCAUCAGUAUAUCCAUGUAAAAAGGAGAUGACAAAAACCAAAAUAAAAUAAUUAUGGGCUGACAGGACAACUGGAUUAAAAUAAGCAUCAGUUUCAGUAAAAAGGGCUAACUUGAAGACAAAUCUUUUGAAGAUAAAUUUUGACACCAGUUCUUUAGAGGAUCUAAAGUGACCUUGAUGGAGAAUGAAAGAAAUCACAAGAUGGAAUUCCUCGAAUAAAAAUUUAUUGACUUUAAAUAAUUUUGCCUAAUGUUACAUACACACAAUUAAAAAAAAAACACCUCUUUAUGCUGUUAAGAAAGAAAGAAAGAAAGAAAGAAAAGAAAAGAAGAGCCAAUGAGGGCCCAGCCAUUGCGCAAGUCUGGAUUCGUAGGAGAUCACCUUUUAUUCCAAAUCACAUCCUAGUUUUUGUCUUGGUCUGAAUGGAAACAUUAGGGGAAACACAGAGGAAAAUCAGAAAGGAAUCUCCAGCAACUAGUGGGAAUAUUAAUAUUUUAAGAUCCCAUCUCUACCUUUAAUGGACCCAUAAUAACAAUGAAAUAUUUUUAUAAUAAUAGAAUAUUUAUCCAUGAGUUGGGGGAAUAAUCAGACCCUCAAUAUUGUGCUAUGAAAGACUGAGUACAUUACUGCUCUAAAAUCUGAUGAAAUCUACUCUUCCAAGAAAAACCAAAGGCCGUGGCGUGGUACUGAUGGUGGUGUCUCGUCCAUUCUUUCAGACACGUAUUUCACAUAAAUGCACUAAAUAAAACAGGAUCAUGCAUUUAUAAGGCUGGACAGGAAUUUAAGGGGCCACCUUGGGAAAAAGAACUGAACGUGUGCUGAGCAGCUACCAUGAGCUGGGGCUCUUUCACCUGCUCUCUGGGUGAACUCCCAGCCCUCAAGUCUUUGGACUUGGACAAUCUGUAGCUGGAAAGAAACACAACCACAGUCCAACCCAUUCUUCAGUUAUAUUCAAGAGGCCAAGC
Molecule: long non-coding RNA, 1033 nt
Filed under: Homo sapiens (human)
Lineage: Eukaryota; Metazoa; Chordata; Mammalia; Primates; Hominidae
Description: long non-coding RNA NONHSAT155373.1
Source: RNAcentral